Trichechus manatus latirostris (Florida manatee) is the source of this 1981-nucleotide RNA transcript. It is a transcript of the gene named RAB4A, member RAS oncogene family, with no coding region annotated. NCBI's taxonomy places the organism in Eukaryota, Metazoa, Chordata, Mammalia, Sirenia, Trichechidae. The transcript has 10 exons. The record is from RefSeq and is a predicted model, not a curated record.
CGCCGGCCGGCCCGCGCUGCAGCCGGUGACCCGGGAAAAGGCGGCGCCGCUCCAAGAUGUCGCAGACGGCCAUGUCCGAGACCUACGAUUUUUUGUUUAAAUUCUUGGUUAUUGGAAAUGCAGGAACUGGCAAGUCUUGCUUACUUCAUCAGUUUAUUGAAAAAAAAUUCAAAGAUGACUCAAAUCAUACAAUAGGAGUGGAAUUUGGUUCAAAGAUAAUAAAUGUUGGCGGUAAAUACGUAAAGUUACAGAUAUGGGAUACAGCAGGACAAGAGCGAUUCAGGUCUGUGACGAGAAGUUAUUACAGAGGUGCAGCCGGGGCCCUCCUUGUCUAUGACAUUACCAGCCGAGAAACCUACAAUGCGCUUACUAAUUGGUUAACAGAUGCCAGAAUGCUAGCAAGUCAAAACAUUGUGAUCAUCCUCUGUGGAAACAAGAAGGAUCUGGAUGCAGAUCGUGAAGUUACUUUCUUAGAAGCCUCCAGAUUUGCUCAGGAAAAUGAGCUGAUGUUUCUGGAAACGAGUGCACUAACAGGAGAAAAUGUAGAAGAGGCCUUUGUGCAGUGCGCGAGAAAAAUACUUAACAAAAUUGAGUCAGGUGAGCUGGAUCCAGAAAGAAUGGGCUCAGGUAUCCAGUAUGGAGAUGCUGCCUUGAGACAGCUCCGGUCCCCGCGUCGAGCACAGGCCCAGAGUGCCCAAGAAUGUGGUUGUUAAAGAUCAGCACGGGGCAAACGAGGUGUACAUACAGUGGUAUUUGGGACACAAUUGUUGGAGCUUGAAGAACCUGAAGCUUUUUUACCACCAUCUUUAUCUACUCUAUACAAAAGUAGAUCCUUGUGGGAAAAAAAAUAAUUGGGAUAUUAUGGAAGCUAGUAGUCAUGGCACAGCAAACUGUAUAAUAAAUCUAACUCAAUGGACAAUACCAUUAAAUGUACACAUUUAACUUUACAUUGUCCAGCUCUCGCUUGCUUUCAGAGUAUCUUCAUCCAGCAUUUAAGUGAAAAUGAGAACAUCACAAUUUGGGAAUCUGUAAUGGUUUUGUAAGGAGCCCUGACUGCUAACCAAAAGGUCAGUGUUUCAAACCCACCAGCUGCUCCUUGGGAAAAAGAUGUAGCAAUCUGCUUCCAUAAAGAUUACAGCCUUGGAAACCCUAUGGGGCAGUUCUGCUCUGUCCUAUAGGGUCACUAUGAGUUGGAAUCUACUCGAUGGCAACUUUUUUUUGUUUGUUUUAAUGGUUUUGUUGAAAACGUUACUUGUGGCCUGUUGAAAUUUUUGUGAGUUGUUGAAAUCUUUACAAACAUUGAUUCCUAGCUAAUUAAUACUAUUAUUCGGAGUAAAGAACCUGAUGGUAAAAUUAGAAACCUAGAUGGUGUGUAAUCCAUACUGUGACACAGUAAAUGGUUCUUCAUUUUCUGUCAUUUUUGCCCUCUUUUGGAAACCCUGGUGGCAUAGUGGUUAAGUGCUAUGGCUGCUAACCAAAAGGGUGGCAGUUCGGAUCCACCAGGCGCUCCUUGGAAACUAUGGUGCAGUUCUGCUCUGUCCUAUAGGGUCGCUAUGAGUCGGAAUCAACUCGAUGGCACCGGAUUUGGUUUUGUUUGUUUUGCCCUCUAUUUGGAGGAGAGAAUUGGAGGGGGUUAAACACCUGUGAUUUUUAAUAUUUUUGUACCAGUUGUGAGUCUCUUUACCAAUCUGUCCAUGUACAUGUAAUCUGAGCUUGUCCCAGUUGUUACUUGUUAUUUCCUAAUUGUAUUAACUUCCCUAAAAUUGUUUUAGGAAUUUAUCUGAGAACACUAGACUUACCAGUUUCAGUAACACGAAAGUAAGGCAGAGCCAUCGCUUGCUAAGGCUAGAUAAUACUGCGUACUGGUAGAAAGUCAUAUGAUUAGGGAAUCUUUUUUUUUUUUAAUAGUAUUUAUGUAGUUUUACAUUUUGUAUUAUGGAAAUUUUCAAACAUACACAGAAAAUAGUAGUACAAUGAACCA